Molecule: ribosomal RNA, 218 nt
Filed under: uncultured bacterium
Lineage: Bacteria
Description: partial 16S ribosomal RNA
Rfam family: Bacterial small subunit ribosomal RNA
Source: RNAcentral
CGCACGGGUGCGUAACGCGUGGGAAUCUGCCCUCUGGUACGGAAUAACUCAGGGAAACUUGAGCUAAUACCGUAUAAUGACUUCGGUCCAAAGAUUUAUCGCCUGAGGAUGAGCCCGCGUCGGAUUAGCUAGUUGGUGAGGUAAAGGCUCACCAAGGCGACGAUCCGUAGCUGGUCUGAGAGGAUGAUCAGCCACACUGGGACUGAGACACGGCCCAG